Molecule: ribosomal RNA, 207 nt
Filed under: uncultured bacterium
Lineage: Bacteria
Description: partial 16S ribosomal RNA
Rfam family: Bacterial small subunit ribosomal RNA
Source: RNAcentral
CACGUAGGCGGCCUGUUAAGUGUGGAGUGAAAUCCCACGGCUCACCCGUGGAACUGCUUCGCAUACUGGCAAGCUCGAGGACGGUAGGGGAGAGCGGAACCCUUGGUGGAGCGGUGAAAUGCGUAGAUAUCAAGAGGAACACCGAUGGCGAAGGCAGCUCUCUGGUCCGUUUCUGACGCUGAGGUGCGAAAGCUAGGGUAGCGAACG